RNAcentral lists this ribosomal RNA (253 nucleotides) under uncultured bacterium. Its description in RNAcentral is "partial 16S ribosomal RNA". It matches the Rfam family "Bacterial small subunit ribosomal RNA", at positions 524 to 776 of the family's 1533-position model. The record is from RNAcentral.
UACGAAGGGGACUAGCGUUGCUCGGAAUCACUGGGCGUAAAGCGCAUGUAGGUGGUUUGGUAAGUCAGGUGUGAAAGCCUCGGGCUCAACCCGAGAAGUGCAUUUGAUACUGCUGAACUUGAGUAUGUGAGAGGGUAGUAGAAUUCCUGGUGUAGUGGUGAAAUACGUAGAUAUCAGGAGGAAUACCGGUGGCGAAGGCGGCUACCUGGCACAGUACUGACACUGAGAUGCGAAAGCGUGGGGAUCAAACAGG